AGUCGCUCAGUCCUGUCCGACUCUGAGCGACCCCACGGACUGCGGCCUACCGGGCUCCUCUGUCCAUGGGAUUUUCCAGGCAAGAGUACUGGAGUGGGGUGCCAUCGCCUUCUCCGAGAGGGAGGUACAAGGAACCAUAAUUUAAGUUCUGGGCUCUCCUUAACUCAGAGACAAAUUCCCUUUACACAGACAUCUGCUCACCAAGUACGGGGACAAAGGUGAAGCAACAGGAAGAGUCCUGGAUUUGCAGAUCAGGAAACUGGAUCUGAAGGCCAACGCUGCCCUCCACUCACUCCCAGCAGGUGUGGCCCUUCUUCCCCCAUCUCUCUGGCCUUUGUUCCCCAACCACUGCAAAGGGCACAUCAGACCAAGAGCACUCAGAUUCCCCAAGCUGGAAGGCUCUGGGGUUUUCUCUUCCCAUGGAAAGGACUUAUCCUCUUCUACGGUAACAUUCUGGAAUAGCUUGCAAGCUUCAUGGACAGUUCUUACUCCUGAGAAAUGUAUCCUGUGAACCUUGAGGGACAAACUCUCUGGAGAAUAUGAACUUUGUUUAACAUCUUUUCAUUGCCAGAAGUCUGCGAUCCUGAAGAGCGGAGUAUGGCCCCUCCAAGGCCCCUCCCAGUAGGAGUACUGGGGUUCUGAUCUUUAUGAUUUCUUUCCUUCUACUAACUUUGGGUUUUGCUUGUUCUUCUUUAUCUAGUUCCUUCAGGUGUAAGAUUAGAUUGAGAUUUUUCUUGUUUCCUGAGUUUAUUUUCCCAGAAGCAGUGCAUGAGAGGACCAGUUUUCCCAACAUCUUUGCCAAUACUUAAUUUAUCAAUCUUUGUAAUGCUUGCCAGUGAACAGGGAAAUUGAAACUAGAGAAAGUGACUUCUCCAAGGUUAUACUACUAAUCCCCUACAAGUCCAGGAUUACAACUUCCGUCACCUGACUUCCAAUCCGUUCCAUUUCCAGAGCCAUUCUGUGGGCAAGGCCUGCGCCAGCCCAGACAGGUCAAAGGGCAGGAUUCCAAGCCGUUGAGAUGGUCUCUGGAGAAGCCUGGAAUUUCCCUGUGUCACAAGUGUGGCAGAAAGAGGCAGGCUUGGGGUUGCCAGCACCCCAGGUUCCCUUGGCAAGUGGAGCAUCUCUCAGGAUGGGAAGGGGCCCCCACCUCUUUGGUGACCCUGGCCACUGGUUCCUGAAUCUCUGGUUUCAAGAGCCUUGAGCAGCUUAUGUCACAGGAGCAUGGAGUCAUCACAGAGUAUUUGCAUCCAAAAUACAUUUUCCUUCACAACAGUGCCCGGGUCAGAGUAAGCGAAGGCGAUUCUGUGCACUUUGGUGAAUCAGUGAGGGGUCUGUACCAUAACUGGGUCUUUAGAUCUGACUGUUAUGUUCCCUAUGUGAUUCGCAUCAGAGAGCACUGCAGAGUUCCUGGAGAAUCCCCUAGCAGACCCUACCAGGAAAUGGGGUUCCACAGAGGUGACUGUGGUGAAUGACUAAAGACCACUCCAAGGGUAAACUUAAAAAAAAAACUCCAAGACUAAAUACCACUUAAAAUAUGUUUUUUAUAAUUUAAAUGUAAAGCUUCCUAAAAACAAGUACUCAGCUAAUAUUCUUAAGCAAAUAAAUGGAGCAAACAGUGAA
Bubalus bubalis (water buffalo) is the source of this 1620-nucleotide long non-coding RNA. RefSeq lists it as uncharacterized. NCBI's taxonomy places the organism in Eukaryota, Metazoa, Chordata, Mammalia, Artiodactyla, Bovidae. The record is from RefSeq and is a predicted model, not a curated record. The transcript has 4 exons.